GUGUGUUGGGUGGGGGAGGGAGCUAUUUUCAGUUUGACUUGGCUGCUGUGGCUUGUCUCUGUGCGGCAGUGAGAGCUGCUAGCAGCUUUUUUGUUUGGUUGGUUUUAUUGAAUAAAGAGAGGAGUCUAUCUAAAGUACUCAAUUGUUUCUCUUUGACUAAAGUACUCAAUUGGUUGUCAAUUGUUUCUCUCUGAUAUGCAGAGCAGCUGAGGAGGAGAGUGUUGAAAGUCCCUAGCCCAGGGCUGUGAAGAAAGAAAUGAGGGAAAAGGGGGCUGUGCCUGCUACUUCAAAGGCGGGAAUUGCCCCUCUCUGCUCACACAUACAUAGCCUGCCUGAUGACUGCUUGAAAGUCUCUGAUCCGUGGCGCCCGGACGAGCCCCAUACCAACAGUGGAGAGCCCACCGGGACAUCCAGGGGCGGCCCGUGCCUAUAGGCAAAUUAGGCAGCAUCCUAGGGCGCCAAGUUGCAUGGGGCGCCAAAUUCCAAACCCUGCCCCUUCUAUUUCCCAUGCCUUACCUGGAGCAUGGCUUCCCUGCGGCCAGAAGAGGGGAUCUGAUGAGAAGGAGCUCACUCCGUAUGCGACUGAGGACAGUUAGGAGGAACUGGUAGGAACCGGACCGCGUGCUCUAAGAAAUGGCGCGAAUGGCACAAGGCGUUUAACGCGCAUGCAUGGUCUGACAGACCAUUGCUGACGAAUCUCCGAACUGUGGUGCCGGGACAAACCCAACAACUACAGUGGAGCACCCAUAGGGAUACCACUCGAAGAAGAACAUAGAAGUAUGGAAUUCUGGCAGCUGAGGGUAUGGGGUACUCACAGAGACCUGCUCUGGAACAGAAUUUGGGGCAUUUUGUGUUGGCCAUAGCUGAAGAAAGAGCUAGUUGUCAAGAACUCCAGCUUUGGAAGAUGCCACAUACGAUAUUGUUUAGCUCCCACUCAUGAUCGAGGGGGAAGAUCGAAUGAGCUCAUUCACCAUGGUGUGCCGUGACCCAGUACUGCACUAUCGAAGCCAGCAUCAUCUGAGGCCUGCAGGGAGUAGCCCAACAAAGCUGAAUCGAGCACCCAGCAAUCCAAGAUAACAGGUGACUGGGACAACCAAAAAGGGCAGAGAUGGUUGAGGAAGGAGGGUGGAUCCAGUAUGUUGGCUAGGAUGCCAUCCUCCAAAUGACUGCUUCUGGCCUACCUGACUUCUGGGAGGGUCAGGUUGAGUGAUCGAGCAAAAAGAGGAUAGGUAACAUAGCUUACAUCCUUUAUCCUUUUCCUUCCCCCUGUAGGAACCCAAUCUGGGAGCCUGCCAGGACCUAGACUGCAUCAGAGGACAAAGGUGCGGAAGAAGGAAUGGCUUUCUGGACUGCUGAGGGAUGUGCAAGGCCAAGGAGCAGUGGGUGGCUCAGAAG
Non-coding RNA from Pelodiscus sinensis (Chinese soft-shelled turtle), 1395 nucleotides. The record is from RefSeq and is a predicted model, not a curated record. NCBI's taxonomy places the organism in Eukaryota, Metazoa, Chordata, Testudines, Trionychidae.